This 73-nucleotide transfer RNA is filed under the name Salmonella enterica subsp. enterica serovar Worthington. RNAcentral's name for it is "tRNA-Val". It matches the Rfam family "tRNA". Rfam says of the family: Transfer RNA (tRNA) molecules are approximately 80 nucleotides in length. Their secondary structure includes four short double-helical elements and three loops (D, anti-codon, and T loops). Lineage: Bacteria; Pseudomonadati; Pseudomonadota; Gammaproteobacteria; Enterobacterales; Enterobacteriaceae. The record is from RNAcentral.
GGGUGAUUAGCUCAGCUGGGAGAGCACCUCCCUUACAAGGAGGGGGGCGGUUCGAUCCCGUCAUCACCCACCA